AACGAACGCUGGCGGCAUGCCUAACACAUGCAAGUCGAACGAGACCUUCGGGUCUAGUGGCGCACGGGUGCGUAACGCGUGGGAACCUGCCCUUAGGUUCGGAAUAACUCCCCGACAGGGGUGCUAAUACCGGAUAAUGUCUUCGGAUCAAAGAUUGAUCGCCUUUGGAUGGGCCCGCGUUGGAUUAGCUAGUUGGUAGGGUAAAAGCCUACCAAGGCGACGAUCCAUAGCUGGUCUGAGAGGAUGAUCAGCCACACUGGGACUGAGACACGGCCCAGACUCCUACGGGAGGCAGCAGUGAGGAAUAUUGGACAAUGGGCGAAAGCCUGAUCCAGCAAUGCCGCGUGAGUGAUGAAGGCCUUAGGGUUGUAAAGCUCUUUUACCCGGGAUGAUAAUGACAGUACCGGGAGAAUAAGCUCCGGCUAACUCCGUG
RNAcentral lists this ribosomal RNA (433 nucleotides) under uncultured bacterium. Its description in RNAcentral is "partial 16S ribosomal RNA". It matches the Rfam family "Bacterial small subunit ribosomal RNA", at positions 29 to 507 of the family's 1533-position model. The record is from RNAcentral.